UUAACUAUUUAAUAGUACUCAGACGACACUAACAUUCAGAGUUUAGGGGUCCUCUGGCGGGCACGCUGGACGCGAAUCCAGGCAAGCCAAGCUUGCGGCCCGCCAAAGCAACAUUCUAUAAUGAUACACAAGGGUGGGAGAUCUACCCCGAAGGGCAUGAACUCUAUAAUGAUCCUUCCGCAGGUUCACCUACGGAAA
This 198-nucleotide unclassified non-coding RNA is filed under the name uncultured fungus. RNAcentral's name for it is "sequence contains ITS1". Lineage: Eukaryota; Fungi. The record is from RNAcentral.